RNAcentral lists this ribosomal RNA (253 nucleotides) under uncultured bacterium. Its description in RNAcentral is "partial 16S ribosomal RNA". It matches the Rfam family "Bacterial small subunit ribosomal RNA", at positions 524 to 776 of the family's 1533-position model. The record is from RNAcentral.
UACGGAGGGUGCAAGCGUUGUUCGGAAUCACUGGGCGUAAAGCGCGUGUAGGCGGUUCCUUAAGUCUGGUGUGAAAGCCCGGGGCUCACCCCCGGAAGUGCACUGGAGACUGAGGAGCUUGAGUACCGGAGAGGAGGGUGGAAUUCCUGGUGUAGCGGUGAAAUGCGUAGAUAUCAGGAGGAACACCGGUGGCGAAGGCGGCCCUCUGGACGGCUACUGACGCUGAGACGCGAAAGCGUGGGGAGCAAACAGG